Molecule: ribosomal RNA, 253 nt
Filed under: uncultured bacterium
Lineage: Bacteria
Description: partial 16S ribosomal RNA
Rfam family: Bacterial small subunit ribosomal RNA
Source: RNAcentral
UACAGAGGUCUCAAGCGUUGUUCGGAUUCAUUGGGCGUAAAGGGCGCGUAGGCGGCGGGGUCAGUCGGGUGUGAAAUCUUGGGGCUUAACCCCGAAACGGCACUCGAAACUGCCCGGCUGGAGGGCCGGAGAGGAGAUCGGAAUUUACGGUGUAGCAGUGAAAUGCGUAGAUAUCGUAAGGAAGACCAGUGGCGAAGGCGGAUCUCUGGACAGUUACUGACACUGAGGCACGAAGGCCAGGGGAGCAAACGGG